RNAcentral lists this unclassified non-coding RNA (380 nucleotides) under uncultured Armatimonadota bacterium. RNAcentral's name for it is "uncultured Armatimonadetes bacterium contains 16S-23S intergenic spacer region". Lineage: Bacteria; Bacillati; Armatimonadota. The record is from RNAcentral.
UCCCGCUUACACGGGCAGUAUCCUAUGAGUUCCCGACUUUCUCGCUGGCAACAUAGAACGAGGGUUGCGCUCGUUGGCGGACUUAACCGUACACCUCACGGCACGAGCUGACGACAGCCAUGCAACAUCUGUCUUCUGGUCUCCUUGUGAGAGAGGGACCAAUCUCUUGGCCUUUCCAUUGAUGUCAAACCUGGGUAAGGUUCUUCGGUUAGUAUCGAAUUAAUCCACAUGCUCCACCGCUUGUGCGGGGUCCCGUCAAUUCAUUUGAGUUUCAACCUUGCGGCCGUACUCCCCAGGCGGGAUACUUAGUGCGUUAGCUGCGGCACAAGAGGGAUCGAUACCUCUUACGCCUAGUAUCCAUCGUUUAGGGCGUGGACUAC